Molecule: ribosomal RNA, 405 nt
Filed under: uncultured bacterium
Lineage: Bacteria
Description: bacterial SSU rRNA
Rfam family: Bacterial small subunit ribosomal RNA
Source: RNAcentral
GGAGGAAUAUUGGACAAUGGGGGAAACCCCGAUCCAGCAACGCCGCGUGAGGGAUGAAGGCCUUCGGGUCGUAAACCUCUUUUAAGGGAGACGAGAAAGGACGGUAUCCCUGGAAUAAGUCACGGCUAACUACGUGCCAGCAGCCGCGGUAAUACGUAGGUGACGAGCGUUAUCCGGAUUUACUGGGCGUAAAGCGCUUGUAGGUGGCUUUGUAAGUUGGGCGUGAAAACUCUGGGCUUAACCCAGAGACGCCGUCCAAUACUGCGAGGCUAGAGGAUGUCAGAGGAAGGUGGAAUUCCUGGUGUAGUAGUGAAAUGCGUAGAUAUCAGGAGGAACACCCGUGGCGAAGGCGGCCUUCUGGGGCAUUCCUGACACUGAGAAGCGAAAGCUAGGGGAGCAAACAGG